AUUGAACGCUGGCGGAAUGCUUUACACAUGCAAGUCGAACGGCAGCACGGACUUCGGUCUGGUGGCGAGUGGCGAACGGGUGAGUAACAUAUCGGAACGUAUCCAAUAAUGGGGGAUAACUAAUCGAAGGGUUGGUUAAUACCGCAUACGCCCUACGGGGGAAAGCAGGGGAACUUCGGACCUUGCAUUAAUGGAGCGGCUGAUAUCUGAUUAGCUAAUUGGUGAGGUAAAGGCGCACCAAGGCGACGAUCAGUAGCUGGUCUGAGAGGACGACCAGCCACACUGGAACUGAGACACGGUCCAGACUCCUACGGGAGGCAGCAGUGGGGAAUUUUGGACAAUGGGCGCAAGCCUGAUCCAGCCAUUCCGCGUGAGUGAAGAAGGCCUUCGGGUUGUAAAGCUCUUUCGCAAGGGAAGAAAACUUACUUUCUAAUAAAGAGUGAGGUUGACGGUGCCUUGAUAAGAAGCACCGGCUAACUACGUGCCAGCAGCCGCCGUAA
RNAcentral lists this ribosomal RNA (500 nucleotides) under uncultured bacterium. RNAcentral's name for it is "partial 16S ribosomal RNA". It matches the Rfam family "Bacterial small subunit ribosomal RNA", at positions 30 to 523 of the family's 1533-position model. The record is from RNAcentral.